GAUAGCAAGUCGAUCCACCCCAAGAGUUCACAUGAAGGAAGAAGGUUUGGCACCUCGAUGUUGGCUCUUCACCACCUGGGGUUGUAGUAUGUUCCAAGGGUUGGGCUAUUCACCCAUUAAAGUGAUACCUAAGCUAGGUAGCUCAACAGUAAAUAAACGGUUG
RNAcentral lists this non-coding RNA (163 nucleotides) under Nelumbo nucifera (sacred lotus). RNAcentral's name for it is "Bacterial large subunit ribosomal RNA". It matches the Rfam family "Bacterial large subunit ribosomal RNA", at positions 2473 to 2632 of the family's 2925-position model. Lineage: Eukaryota; Viridiplantae; Streptophyta; Magnoliopsida; Proteales; Nelumbonaceae. The record is from Rfam by way of RNAcentral.